GUGUUAAUUAUCACGGAGAGCCAUGAUGCUUUAAUUUUACAGUCUCAGAGAUUAGUCAAGUGAGCUAAAGGGACUGAAACAGACAACUACAGAACAACCACAAGACAGACAACCAUAGAGAGGUUAAGGGUAAUCGCAGUUUUCUGCCAGGUGAAGUGGCUAAAGGGGACGCAUGCCAGCUGUCAAACUCCCAGGCAAGGAAACCGAGACCCCAGCAGUUGCUUUGAGUGCACAGCUGCGGGGACAAACUAUCUUAUGGGGACACUCCCCUCUGGAAGCCUCAUUAUGGCGUUGUUUCUACUAAAGUGGGCACAGGAAAAGGAAUGAUCCAGAACAAGUGGUUUACUUUGGAGAAACUGGAAUUUCAUACCUAAGCUUUUGCCAUCAAAUGACAAACUCUAACCUG
RNAcentral lists this long non-coding RNA (406 nucleotides) under Bos taurus (domestic cattle). Its description in RNAcentral is "long non-coding RNA NONBTAT019691". Lineage: Eukaryota; Metazoa; Chordata; Mammalia; Artiodactyla; Bovidae. The record is from RNAcentral.